AAGUCCGCGGGGCAUGGAGGCUGCUGUCGCUGCAGCAGCUCAGCUUGCCCGGGGCGGGAACUCCCCCUUUCUCCUUUCGCCUCCCCAGCACCCACACCCUGUCUCCCCCUUAAUUCUUCCCUGGAUAAUAGCACCCUAACGACAACAGUCAUAAUAAUAGGGUUAGAACGACAGGGGAGGAAAACUCAACAGCCUAAAUAUCUCUGAAAACUGCAUCGCAAAAUGGAAGAAAGAGGGGGUCCCACUACUGUUUCAAAAGAGAGCCAUGGAAGUCAAAUGCUGAGGAUGGUGGCAUCAUAGGAUGAAUGGAGCUGGGUUCUUGAAACACUGCCUGGAGGAAAGACAGCAAAAAUGCCUCAUGAAUCCAACUGGACUGUUAGCUCAUCUUUACCCUUCAAAUCUCAACUCAAAUGUCCUUCCUCUGAGAGGCCUUCUCUGCCUGCCCUCCCAUGUAAAGAAACCAGCUCCAUUUCUGGGAUGCUCACCCUUGGAGACCAGCAACAAUGUGUGCAGAAACCCAGGCCAUGUGGAGAGGCCCCACAUACGUGUCCAACUGAGGUCCCAGCUGACAGCUGGCAUUGACAUGUGAGUGAGACUCUGAACGUUCCAGCUGAUGACAAGUACAGUUUGAGCGAGCUAUCCCUGUUGGGCCUGUCAAAACUGCAGAUUUCAUGAAGAAAAUAAGUGUUGUUGACUUAAGCCAGUAAGUUUUGACAUACUAUGUUACACAGCCAUAGUAGCUGGAAGAGUGUGAAACAAAUACUAUUCUCUUGUGUCUCAUUUCUCUAUAAAGUAUAUCUUCCCCCUUCCUUGCAUAGGGAUUCUUUCUCCUUUUCUCUCAGACAGUUCUGCUAUUAUCCCUGCUAGUGAUGCUAUUACUACUUCAAAUACUAUUGUUUUUAUAUCUGUUGCUACUACUGAAAAUAAGAUAAUUUUAUAACUAAUGUUGAGUAUGCAUCUACUAUAUAGAUUUACAUCCUUAACAUGUAUUAAAUCACGUAAUUCUUACAUCAAAAGCAUGGAAUUGUAUCACCCCAAGAUUCAUAUGUUGAAGUCCUCACCUUUAGUAUUCACAAUGUGACCUGUUUGGAGAUAUGGUCUUUAAAGAUGUGAAAUGAAGCCAUUAAAGUAGUCCUUAAUCC
This 1142-nucleotide long non-coding RNA is filed under the name Homo sapiens (human). RNAcentral describes it as "SNAP25 antisense RNA 1". Lineage: Eukaryota; Metazoa; Chordata; Mammalia; Primates; Hominidae. The record is from RNAcentral.